This 479-nucleotide ribosomal RNA is filed under the name uncultured organism. RNAcentral describes it as "bacterial SSU rRNA". It matches the Rfam family "Bacterial small subunit ribosomal RNA", at positions 28 to 507 of the family's 1533-position model. The record is from RNAcentral.
GACGAACGCUGGCGGCGUGCUUAACACAUGCAAGUCGAACGAUGAAGCACAGCUUGCUGUGUGGAUUAGUGGCGAACGGGUGAGUAAUACGUGAGUAACCUGCCCCCUUCUUUGGGAUAAGCCUUGGAAACGGGGUCUAAUACUGGAUAUUCCUGUGUCACCGCAUGGUGGUGUGGGGAAAGUUUUUUCGGUGGGGGAUGGGCUCGCGGCCUAUCAGCUUGUUGGUGGGGUGAUGGCCUACCAAGGCGUCGACGGGUAGCCGGCCUGAGAGGGUGACCGGCCACACUGGGACUGAGAUACGGCCCAGACUCCUACGGGAGGCAGCAGUGGGGGAUAUUGCACAAUGGGCGCAAGCCUGAUGCAGCGACGCCGCGUGAGGGAUGACGGCUUUCGGGUUGUAAACCUCUUUCGCUACCGAACAAGGCUCCAUUUUUGUGGGGUUGAGGGUAGGUGGAUAAGAAGCGCCGGCUAACUACGUG